GAACGGUAGCACAGAGAGCUUGCUCUCGGGUGACGAGUGGCGGACGGGUGAGUAAUGUCUGGGAAACUGCCUGAUGGAGGGGGAUAACUACUGGAAACGGUAGCUAAUACCGCAUAACGUCGCAAGACCAAAGAGGGGGACCUUCGGGCCUCUUGCCAUCAGAUGUGCCCAGAUGGGAUUAGCUAGUAGGUGGGGUAACGGCUCACCUAGGCGACGAUCCCUAGCUGGUCUGAGAGGAUGACCAGCCACACUGGAACUGAGACACGGUCCAGACUCCUACGGGAGGCAGCAGUGGGGAAUAUUGCACAAUGGGCGCAAGCCUGAUGCAGCCAUGCCGCGUGUAUGAAGAAGGCCUUCGGGUUGUAAAGUACUUUCAGCGGGGAGGAAGGGAGUAAGGUUAAUAACCUUGUUCAUUGACGUUACCCGCAGAAGAAGCACCGGCUAACUCCGUGCCAGCAGCCGCGGUAAUACGGAGGGUGCAAGCGUUAAUCGGAAUUACUGGGCGUAAAGCGCACGCAGGC
This 521-nucleotide ribosomal RNA is filed under the name Klebsiella sp. RNAcentral's name for it is "bacterial SSU rRNA". It matches the Rfam family "Bacterial small subunit ribosomal RNA", at positions 64 to 576 of the family's 1533-position model. The record is from RNAcentral. Lineage: Bacteria; Pseudomonadati; Pseudomonadota; Gammaproteobacteria; Enterobacterales; Enterobacteriaceae.